Molecule: non-coding RNA, 90 nt
Organism: Mucilaginibacter paludis DSM 18603
Lineage: Bacteria; Pseudomonadati; Bacteroidota; Sphingobacteriia; Sphingobacteriales; Sphingobacteriaceae
Source: Rfam
GGUAGUAGGCCUACCACAGUCGCUGUGCAAGCGGAGGCUGUAAACCUCCCAACUGGCGCGAGUAUGACGGGUUUGGCCAAAGCGUAAGGG